This 469-nucleotide ribosomal RNA is filed under the name uncultured bacterium. RNAcentral's name for it is "bacterial SSU rRNA". It matches the Rfam family "Bacterial small subunit ribosomal RNA", at positions 329 to 795 of the family's 1533-position model. The record is from RNAcentral.
GUCCAGACUCCUACGGGAGGCAGCAGUGAGGAAUAUUGGUCAAUGGGCGGAAGCCUGAACCAGCCAAGUCGCGUGAGGGAAUAAGGCCCUACGGGUCGUAAACCUCUUUUGCCGGGGAGCAAGGGCGGGGACGUGUCCCGGCCCGGAGAGUACCCGGAGAAAAAGCAUCGGCUAACUCCGUGCCAGCAGCCGCGGUAAUACGGAGGAUGCGAGCGUUAUCCGGAUUUAUUGGGUUUAAAGGGUGCGUAGGCGGGCUUUUAAGUCAGCGGUAAAAAUUCGGGGCUCAACCCCGUCCGGCCGUUGAAACUGGGGGCCUUGAGUGGGCGAGAGGUAUGCGGAAUGCGUGGUGUAGCGGUGAAGUGCAUAGAUAUCACGCAGAACCCCGAUUGCGAAGGCAGCAUACCGGUGCACAACUGACGCUCAGGCACGAAAGCGUGGGUAUCGAACAGGAUUAGAUACCCCUGUACAC